CAUACUGACGGACAGAUCACUGCCCUUUUGCCGCCUUGUCUGACCGUGUUUUGUGGCUUUGGUUCACUUCACCUCACUCUUCCCCAUUCUUGUCAUUAAAUCAGGCUGUUCUGCAACCAUGGCAGCCAUUCACUCUAUGGCUUUAUUCAUGGUGUAUUUUACCCCUUCACCAAAGGCCGUUCUCGUUUCCAACAUUAUAUUUGCAGUGUUCGUCUAUCUAUCAAUAUCUGCGGAGUAUUUUUUUAACGAGUAUCCUAUUUUCUAAAGCACAGCAUGUAAAGGGUAGCUCGGUUAGCAGGAUGCUAGCAUGUAGCGCUUAGUGAGACACGCCUCAGACGAGUUGAGCAAAGACCCCGUCUGUGUACUUUAUACGUGAGCAACGGAUUUAAAUAAAAUUAAGGUUUCAAAAGACAAACUUGAAGAUAAAAAAAAAUAUAUACUCACCGGAGAGCCGCCAGGGUUUGCCGCUGCCAUCUUGGCACUCCUAAAUUCAAAACUGCUUCUGCAGACAGGCAUGGGAGGCGUGGAAAUUGUCUUUGAGUUAGUCAAACGUUUUCCUUAGUUCGAGUAGAUGAUAAAAAAAAAUAAAUAAAUAAAUGGGAUUUUAAGUAGGACUAGGCGUUCUGUAAUGAUCUCUAUUUAGGAGAAAAACUUAAUCACUCACCUCUAAACAGCUCUCUUUUAGGAGACAAACUGCUGGCUAACGGUGUCAUGUGAUCAAACAGCGUAAUUUAAUUGGCCGAGAGCCACUCGACUCGAUCUGGUGCUGAUUGCUCUGGCUUGGGUCAUUAAAGUUCAUCACUUUUGCAGGUGAAUUUUUGCAGGUGAAUUUUUUGCAGGUGAAUUUUUGCAGGUGAAUUUUUUUGCAGGUGAAUUUUUUUCAGGUGAAUUUUUGGCAGGUGAAUUUUUUGCAGGUGAAUUUUUGCAGGUGAAUAUUUUUGCAGGGAAAUUUGGAGGAUAAAAAUUCAGUGUCAUAAAUUCAAUGUCUAAAAAUACUUGAAUUCUGAUGAUACUAUAUUUCUUCCAUACAAGGUGCGUUCCCUUCACUUCCUUCCCCUGUUUUUUCACCAGUUCUUUGUGUUCGUAAUGUUCAAAUUUUGCAGUUAGUGGUCUUAGAUCUUUAAUUUUUGGUGGACUCCGUAAAAAAAGAUCUGAGCGACUGUCAUAAAGGCCUAAUGUUUGUUCAGGACUGUAAGUAGUAUUUUUACUAAACUGCUUUUAUUCUGUAAUUCUUUAGCUAGGAACUCAAUGAGUAUAAUCCUCACUCAUUGGUGUUCAGUGGUGUUCAACGGCAAUCCUGGGCAUUUAGACGAGGCAUUGAUUUGUUGAGCACAGAUGGUCAUGCCACUUGUUAAUUAAAGUAUUCCAGUUUGUCCAAUUUGUUAGAUUUAAGAAAUGGUCC
Molecule: long non-coding RNA, 1402 nt
Organism: Astatotilapia calliptera (eastern happy)
Lineage: Eukaryota; Metazoa; Chordata; Actinopteri; Cichliformes; Cichlidae
Source: Ensembl